This 203-nucleotide ribosomal RNA is filed under the name uncultured bacterium. RNAcentral describes it as "partial 16S ribosomal RNA". It matches the Rfam family "Bacterial small subunit ribosomal RNA", at positions 524 to 723 of the family's 1533-position model. The record is from RNAcentral.
UACGUAGGGUGCGAGCGUUUGUCCGGAAUUACUGGGCGUAAAGAGCUCGUAGGUGGUUUGUCGCGUUGUUCGUGAAAACUCACCAGCUCAACUGUGGGCGUGCGGGCGAUACGGGCAGACUGGAGUACUGGCAGGGGAGACUGGAAUUCCUGGUGUAGCGGCGGAAUGCGCAGAUAUCGGGAGGAACACCGGUGGCGAAGGCG